GAUGAACGCUGGCGGCGUGCCUAAUACAUGCAAGUCGAGCGAACAGACGAGGAGCUUGCUCCUCUGACGUUAGCGGCGGACGGGUGAGUAACACGUGGAUAACCUACCUAUAAGACUGGGAUAACUUCGGAAAACCGGAGCUAAUACCGGAUAAUAUAUUGAACCGCAGGGUUCAAUAGUGAAAGACGGUUUUGCUGUCACUUAUAGAUGGAUCCGCGCCGCAUUAGCUAGUUGGUAAGGUAACGGCUUACCAAGGCAACGAUGCGUAGCCGACCUGAGAGGGUGAUCGGCCACACUGGAACUGAGACACGGUCCAGACUCCUACGGGAGGCAGCAGUAGGGAAUCUUCCACAAUGGGCGAAAGCCUGACGGAGCAACGCCGCGUGAGUGAUGAAGGUCUUCGGAUCGUAAAACUCUGUUAUUAGGGAAGAACAAAUGUGUAAGUAACUAUGCACGUCUUGACGGUACCUAAUCAGAAAGCCACGGCUAACUACGUG
Molecule: ribosomal RNA, 497 nt
Filed under: uncultured bacterium
Lineage: Bacteria
Description: partial 16S ribosomal RNA
Rfam family: Bacterial small subunit ribosomal RNA
Source: RNAcentral